This is a long non-coding RNA of Oreochromis aureus, 1160 nucleotides long. NCBI's taxonomy places the organism in Eukaryota, Metazoa, Chordata, Actinopteri, Cichliformes, Cichlidae. The record is from Ensembl.
CGAUGAGGACCUCCUCUCGCUGGCUUUUAUUGACAAACUUCAAACAAUAGUUUACAAAACACCUCCCCUCGCAACCCCCUUUGGUUACAAAGACAAGGCACUGUAUGUAUGUAUAUGCAGGUAUGUGUGUGUGUGUGUGUGUGUGUGUGUGUGUGUGUGUCCUCCUGCUGACCAAAGGGUCGUAAACGCAGGAAGCUUACAUCAAAGGAAGUAGAUCUUCCAGAUAGGAUGUAUCUGCAAUAAAACCUCCCCCAACACAAAGUGGUUAGAGGUGCUCAGGAUCAAAGGAAUAGCUUUGAUAAUACUGCUUGAACUAAGACUGUACAAAUUUAAGAAACACAAUGGCAACAUUCAACAAUUAGACCUAACAUUUCCCCCCUUUUUGUCAUUUUAUAUACUUAAAUUUCAACUUAUGCACCCUUUGUUUGGACAGUGACAGUGUAGAUUUCAUUCAUACACAACUCCUCUUCAUUCACCUUCUAUCGAUGCAAAAGUUCACAGUUAAUUCAAUUCAAUUCAAUUCAAUUCAAUUUUAUUUAUAUAGCGCCAAAUCACAACAAAAGUCGCCUCAAGGCGCUUUAUAUUGUACAGUAGAUAGCACAAUAAUAAAUACAGAGAAAAACCCAACAAUCAUAUGACCCCCUAUGAGCAAGCACUUUGGCCACAGUGGGAAGGAAAACUCCCUUUAACAGGAAGAAACCUCCGGCAGAACCAGGCUCAGGGAGGGGCGGCCAUCUGCUGCGACCGGUUGGGGUGAAAGAAGGAAAACAGGAUGAAAGACAUGCUGUGGAAGAGAGACAGAGAUUAAUAACAGAUAUGAUUCGAUGCAGAGAGGUCUAUUAGCACAUAGUGAGUGAGAAAGGUGACUGGAAAGGAAAAACUCAAUGCAUCAUGGGAAUCCCCGGCAGCCUACGUCUAUUGCAGCAUAACUAAGGGAGGAUUCAGGGUCACCUGGUCCAGCCCUAACUAUAUGCUUUAGCAAAAAGGAAAGUUUUAAGCCUAAUCUUGAAAGUAGAGAUAGUGUCUGUCUCCCGAAUCCAAACUGGAAGCUGGUUCCACAGAAGAGGGGCCUGAAAACUGAAGGCUCUCCCUCCCAUUCUACUUUUAAAUACUCUAGGAACAACAAGUAGGCCUGCAGAGUGAGAGCGAAGUGCUCUAAU